UUGAAUAAAUCUGGCAUGGUUGUAGCUGGCUCUUAGGAGCAUGUGCACACCUGUCACCUUUAUCUUUCCACCUGUGAACCCUUUGUAGUCCCAGGAUAACCUCUCGCACACUCUGGUGUUGCGGAUGCGAAGGUUGUCGUGCCUCUGGCGGCUUCCAUCGAAUUUCCUGGGUCUAUGUUUCUUACACACCCCUGUAUGUUAAAAGAAUGUUGAUUUCAAAUGGCUUAGGCCUAUAGAAACUCAAUA
RNAcentral lists this unclassified non-coding RNA (246 nucleotides) under soil metagenome. RNAcentral's name for it is "partial internal transcribed spacer 1". The record is from RNAcentral.